UACGGAGGAUCCAAGCGUUAUCCGGAAUUAUUGGGCGUAAAGCGCGUGUAGGCGGUUUUUUAAGUCUGAUGUGAAAGCCCCGGGCUCAACCUGGGAAGUGCAUUGGAUACUGGAAGACUUGAGUACGGGAGAGGGUAGUGGAAUUCCUAGUGUAGGAGUGAAAUCCGUAGAUAUCAGGAGGAACACCGGUGGCGAAGGCGGCUGCCUGGACCGACAUUGACGCUGAGACGCGAAAGCGUGGGUAGCAAACAGGAUUAGAUACCCGUGUAGU
Molecule: ribosomal RNA, 271 nt
Filed under: uncultured archaeon
Lineage: Archaea
Description: partial 16S ribosomal RNA
Rfam family: Bacterial small subunit ribosomal RNA
Source: RNAcentral